RNAcentral lists this ribosomal RNA (407 nucleotides) under uncultured bacterium. Its description in RNAcentral is "partial 16S ribosomal RNA". It matches the Rfam family "Bacterial small subunit ribosomal RNA", at positions 28 to 526 of the family's 1533-position model. The record is from RNAcentral.
GAUGAACGCUAGCUACAGGCUUAACACAUGCAAGUCGCGGGACCGGCGCACGGGCGAGUUAAGCGUAUCCAACCCGCCCUUCACCACGGGAUAACCCGGCGAAAGUCGGACUAACACCGUAUGGGGAAGGAUGGGGAUGCGUCCGCUUAGCUUGACGGCGGGGUAACGGCCCACCGUGGCUACGUACGGUAGGGGUUCUGAGAGGAAGGUCCCCCACACUGGAACUAAGACACGGCCCAGACUCCUACGGGAGGCAGGAGGUGGGAGUAUUGGUCAAUGGGCGUAAGCCUGGACCAGCCAAGUGGCGUGAAGGACGACGGCCUAUGGGUGGUAAACUGCUUUUAUGCGGGGAUAGGUACCGCAUGAAUAAGGACCGGCUAAUUCCGUGCCAGCAGCCGCGGUAAUAC